Molecule: ribosomal RNA, 18 nt
Filed under: Teucrium scordium
Lineage: Eukaryota; Viridiplantae; Streptophyta; Magnoliopsida; Lamiales; Lamiaceae
Description: partial 28S ribosomal RNA
Source: RNAcentral
AGGUCAGGCGGGACUACC